CGUGUAGGCGGCUAGAUAAGUCAGAUGUGAAAGCCCUGGGCUCAACCCGGGAAGUGCAUUUGAAACUGUCUUGCUAGAGUAAGGGAGAGGGAAGUGGAAUUCCUGGUGUAGAGGUGAAAUUCGUAGAUAUCAGGAGGAACACCGGUGGCGAAGGCGACUUCCUGGCCCUAUACUGACGCUGAGACGCGAGAGCGUGGGGAGCAAACAGGAUUAGAUACCCUGGUAGUCCACGCCGUAAACGAUGUUCACUAGGUGUUGGGGGUAUUGACCCCCUCAGUGCCGGAGCUAACGCAUUAAGUGAACCGCCUGGGGAGUACGGUCGCAAGACUAAA
This 332-nucleotide ribosomal RNA is filed under the name uncultured bacterium. RNAcentral's name for it is "bacterial SSU rRNA". It matches the Rfam family "Bacterial small subunit ribosomal RNA", at positions 568 to 898 of the family's 1533-position model. The record is from RNAcentral.